RNAcentral lists this long non-coding RNA (471 nucleotides) under Vulpes vulpes (red fox). Its description in RNAcentral is "lncRNA (ENSVVUG00000015820.1)". The record is from RNAcentral. Lineage: Eukaryota; Metazoa; Chordata; Mammalia; Carnivora; Canidae.
GCUGGUACACGAGGGAUGCAGAACAGAAGCUUUUUGGAUGGGAUCUGAAAAAGCAAGACACGAAUGAAGAGCAGCAGGAGAUGCAUGGAGAAGGAUCUAACUGCCUAUUUUUCACAAGGAUGUCUAAACGAACAAAACUUGGAGAAGCAGAACCUUCUCACACACAGUGCCUCACAGCAUGACAGAAACCAUCUCCUGAAAUUCCUGCCUGCCUUCUUGCUGCAGUUCUUUCUGAGACAAAAAUGCAAACUUGAGGAUAUGGCCAGGCCCCCAACCCCCAGCCUGACCAAGAAGAGACACAGGCGCUGCUGGUCCCAGAACAAUCCCGGCUAUGAAUAUCCUUCUGAUGGGUACCCCCAUCAACCAUCCAUCCCCCAACUUUGGAGGGCACAGCAGUCAGUAAGGAGCCUGUUAAAAGGCAGAUUCCAGGGAACUGGACCCAGGACGUCUGGCAUGAGGCCCAGAAGCUGA